CUCUUAGGAUGCCUUUCUUUUCUGCUUGUCUCUUUGUUGUACUUUUUUUUUUUUUUAAUGCAUGCUUUUGUGGUCAUCAGAGAGUGAAAUACUUGUCCUUUGUAGACUUGAUUCUUUUGCCUUUUACAAGUAUAAAGCUUAAUGAGCUCCAUCCUCAGUGUCUUAGUCAGGGCCUCUACUCCUACACAAACAUCAUGACCAAGAAGCAAGUUGGGGAGGAAAGGGUUUAGUCAGCUUACACUUCCACAUUGCUGUUCAUCACCAAAGGGAGUCAGGACUGGAACUCAAGCAGGUUAGGAAGCAGGAGCUGAGGCAGAGGCCAUGGAGGGAUGUUACUUACUGGCUUGUUCCCCUGGCUUGCUCAGCUUGCUCUCUUAUAGAACCUAAGACCACCAGCCCAGGGUUGGCACCACCCACAAUGGGCUGGGCCCUCCCACUUGAUCACUUAUUGAGAAAAUGCCUUACAGCUGGGUCUCAUGGGGGCAUUUCCUCGACUGAGGCUCCUUUCUCUGUGAUGAUUCCAGCUUCUGUCAAGUUGACACACAAAAUGAGCCAGUGGUACACUUACCAAGGCCUCAUAUGUACAUACCUCCCUUGGCUCAGCUUUUCUGUUACAGUGUGACAGAGAAACAGACACCUUUUCUUUCCAACCUUUACAUGGUAGUGGGAACAUCUUAAAGUAUUUUUAUGAUUAUUAACUGCUGCUGUUCUUUGCUUUCUUUGCCUAAAAUCAUUUAACUGAGGAAGCGAGUGUCGGAUGUUUUAGAACCACAUGUUCUCAGUGCUGAGUUCUCUUAGCAUGUCCUCUCUCUAAGCAAAGCCGUGUAGAUCGAAUAGCGAGCCUGUCUUCUGCAGUGCUUGUGCAUGCUUGCUCCCUGCUGCUUGUGAGUUCAGUUCCUUGAGUUUCCACACUCUUACUCUUGUAUGGGAUGUACUUCAGUCUUGGACAUUCUGUUCAAUUACGGACAUGAUUAUUUCAUGGUUUUCCUCAUGAUGUUUGAACUCUAAAAGAAAUGUUGCUUAAUUUUCUUAUUUCCUUUUGUUGACGAAUUAAAAGACAAAUAUAGACUUCAAAGAAGAGAACUAGUCUCUCUAAAGCAGGAAUCAUAUAGUUUAAGUGUUUACCAUCAAAAAUAGUUUUUGUUCUAAGAAAAUAUUUAGUUUGGUCAUAGGUACAGAAUACAUGUGGUUCUAAAAACAUCCAACACCCAGAAUUCCUCAGUUAAAUAAUUUUAGUCAAAGAAGCCAAAGACCAGCAACAGUUGAUAGAUGUAAAAGUACUUUAAAACUGUUCUAACUCCUAUCUAAAGAUCACAGAGAAAAGGUGUUAGGCCACACUGUGACAGAAGAAAUUAGUUGAACCUACACAUGAGACACAGCUGUACAUGUAAGCCUCUUACUACCAUUUAAACCAAACUGCCCAGCAAGUAUUUGAUUUGCCAAUUGGCAACAUUUAGCAUUUGAAUCAACAUUGGUUUCUUUGUUUAAAAAAAAAAAAAAAAAAAAGCCAAGCCCAUUCAUGUCCUAAUAGUUAGUAUAAAAGGUAUGUGUAGGGGUUGGAGAUUUAGCUCAGUGGUAGAGCGCUUGCCUAGGAAGCGCAAGGCCCUGGGUUCGGUCCCCAGCUCUGAAAAAAAGAACAAAAAAAAAAAAGGUAUGUGUAAAUAGGUGGGUAGGAAUUAUUCUCAUUGUUCUUUAAAAUCACCUCAAUGCUGGAUGUGAUAGUAUACACCUUUAGUCUAGCACUAAGGAGCAGAGGCAGGCAGAUUUCUGUCAGUUCAAGGCCAGACUGCUCUACAUAGAGUUCUAGGCUAGCCAGAGCUACAUAGUAAGAAACUUCCUCAAAAGGAAAAGAAACAAAAUGACCUCAAAACAAUUAUUGUUACCCAUUAACAGGGUAUCACUAGGCUUAUUCUAUAAAUGCUUCCUAGUGAUAACUUCACAACAAAUGAACAGGUUAUAAAGUUAUAUACUUUUAGAGCUUGGAAUUGAGCAGCACUAAGCUCUUGCAAUUAGCUGCUCUGAGUAUAUUAGAGAUGGAGACCACCUAAGAGUUGUUUUCUCCAGAGCUGUUUAUAACUGAAUUGAUACUGUGUGUUCUUCUAGCUUUAAAAGCAGAAUCAUGUUCUCUAUUGAACUACCGCUUAAAGAAUACUUAAGAGCUGUCCCAUUACUUUAGAGCUCAGGAGCUAUGGCUAGCUUUUUUUUUUUUUUUUUUUUGGUUCUUUUUUUCGGAGCUGGGGACCAAUAUGGCUAGCUUUUUGUCCCCAUAGCUAAAAUAACCUAGUAUGUUUGAUUUAAGCUCUUUUUUUUUUUUAAUUCAGGUAAUUUUUUUAAAUUAAAAGACAAAAGGAAAAUCAUUUGUACAGGAAAAGAUGAAACCUUAUAGUUGCCUAAUUUAAAAUACUAAAUACAUAGUAAGAUCCUUUUACCUUCAAAAAAUACAUCACUCACAUUAUAAAAACUAUUUCUUUGUGGGGCAUGGUGGCUUUAAUCAGAGCACUAGGGAGGCAGAGGCAAGGGUAUCUCUGUUAGUUCAAGGCAGCCUGGUCUACAAAUUGAGUUCAGGACAGCCUGGGCUACACAGAGAAACCCUGUCCCCAAAAAACAAAACAAACAAACAAAAAAAAUCCAGUUUUUCUUUGCUUUAAAUAAGUAUGUUUGAAUAAAUUUAUUGGCAACAUGCAUGGUGUGGUUCACGUUUAUAAUCCCAGCACUGGGAAAAGAAAAUCCCCGUGAGUUCUAGGCCAGCUAGACUCCAGAGUGACACUGUCUCAACAGACCAGCGGGUAAGAGGCACUGAGAGAGGAAAGCAUUGCCUGAUACUCUAAAGUUGAUUGACUUUAUUUGGGAUGAAGAGAAGGCCCAGUGGUUAAGAGUGAGGAGAAGGCCCAGUGGUUAAGAGUGAGGAGAAGGCCCAGUGGUUAAGAGUGAGGAGAAGGCCCAGUGGUUAAGAGUGAGGAGAAGGCCCAGUGGUUAAGAGUGAGGAGAAGGCCCAGUGGUUAAGAGUGAGGAGAAGGCCCAGUGGUUAAGAGUGAGGAGAAGGCCCAGUGGUUAAGAGUGAGGAGAAGGUCGGUCCCCAGCUCCGAAAAAAAGAACCAAAAAAAAAAAAAAAAGAGUGAGGAGAAGGCUCAGUGGUUAAGAGUGAGGAGAAGGCCCAG
Rattus norvegicus (Norway rat) is the source of this 3158-nucleotide non-coding RNA. Lineage: Eukaryota; Metazoa; Chordata; Mammalia; Rodentia; Muridae. The record is from RefSeq and is a predicted model, not a curated record.